RNAcentral lists this ribosomal RNA (322 nucleotides) under uncultured eukaryote. Its description in RNAcentral is "partial 18S ribosomal RNA". It matches the Rfam family "Eukaryotic small subunit ribosomal RNA", at positions 1470 to 1796 of the family's 1831-position model. The record is from RNAcentral.
CCCUUAGAUGUUCUGGGCCGCACGCGUGCUACACUGAGUAAAUCAAUGGGUAAGGGAACACGAAAGUGCAACCUAAUCUUCAAAUUUGCUCGUGAUGGGGAUCGACGGUUGCAAUUUUCCGUCGUGAACGAGGAAUACCUUGUAGGCGCGUGUCAUCAUCACGCGCCGAAUACGUCCCUGCCCUUUGUACACACCGCCCGUCGCUCCUACCGAUUGAGUGAUCCGGUGAGGCUCUGGGACCUGGACGGAAAGAGCGUUUCGCUUGUUCUGUUUGGGAAACUUGGUCGAACCUUAUCAUUUAGAGGAAGGAGAAGUCGUAACA